Molecule: ribosomal RNA, 380 nt
Filed under: uncultured eukaryote
Lineage: Eukaryota
Description: partial 18S ribosomal RNA
Rfam family: Eukaryotic small subunit ribosomal RNA
Source: RNAcentral
CAAUAGCGUAUAUUAAAGUUGUUGCAGUUAAAAAGCUCGUAGUUGGAUUUGUGGCGUACGGUAUGUUCCGGGCACUUGUUGUCUGAGUAACCUGCUGUUGCCAUCCUUGGGUGGAACCUGUGUGGCAUUAGGUUGUCGUGCAGGGGAUGCCCAUCAUUUACUGUGAAAAAAUUAGAGUGUUCAAAGCAGGCUUAUGCCGUUGAAUAUAUUAGCAUGGAAUAAUGAGAUAGGACUUUUUUGCUAUUUUGUUGGUUUGCGCAAAGAGGUAAUGAUUAAUAGGGACAGUUGGGGAUAUUCGUAUUCCAUUGUCAGAGGUGAAAUUCUUGGAUUUUUGGAAGACGAACUACUGCGAAAGCAUUUACCAAGGAUGUUUUCAUUAA